RNAcentral lists this ribosomal RNA (766 nucleotides) under Listeria monocytogenes. Its description in RNAcentral is "partial 23S ribosomal RNA". It matches the Rfam family "Bacterial large subunit ribosomal RNA", at positions 266 to 1027 of the family's 2925-position model. The record is from RNAcentral. Lineage: Bacteria; Bacillati; Bacillota; Bacilli; Caryophanales; Listeriaceae.
AGCCCAAACCAAGAAGCUUGCUUCUUGGGGUUGUAGGACACUCUAUACGGAGUUACAAAAGAAAGUUAUAAAUGAAGCGGUCUGGAAAGGCCCGCCAAAGACGGUAACAGCCCGGUAGUUGAAAUGGCUUUCCCUCCAGAGUGGAUCCUGAGUACGGCGGAACACGUGAAAUUCCGUCGGAAUCCGGGAGGACCAUCUCCCAAGGCUAAAUACUCCCUAGUGACCGAUAGUGAACCAGUACCGUGAGGGAAAGGUGAAAAGCACCCCGGAAGGGGAGUGAAACAGUUCCUGAAACCGUGUGCCUACAAGUAGUUAGAGCCCGUUAAUGGGUGAUAGCGUGCCUUUUGUAGAAUGAACCGGCGAGUUACGAUUUGUUGCAAGGUUAAGCGGAAAAAGCGGAGCCGUAGCGAAAGCGAGUCUGAAUAGGGCGCAUAAGUAACAGGUCGUAGACCCGAAACCAGGUGAUCUACCCAUGUCCAGGAUGAAGGUAAGGUAAUACUUACUGGAGGUCCGAACCCACGCACGUUGAAAAGUGCGGGGAUGAGGUGUGGGUAGCGGAGAAAUUCCAAUCGAACUUGGAGAUAGCUGGUUCUCUCCGAAAUAGCUUUAGGGCUAGCCUCGAGGUAAAGAGUCAUGGAGGUAGAGCACUGUUUGGACUAGGGGCCCUUCUCGGGUUACCGAAUUCAGAUAAACUCCGAAUGCCAUGUACUUAUACUCGGGAGUCAGACUGCGAGUGAUAAGAUCCGUAGUCGAAAGGGAAACAGCC